RNAcentral lists this long non-coding RNA (993 nucleotides) under Cucumis sativus (cucumber). RNAcentral's name for it is "long non-coding RNA (CSAT_LNC000489)". The record is from RNAcentral. Lineage: Eukaryota; Viridiplantae; Streptophyta; Magnoliopsida; Cucurbitales; Cucurbitaceae.
UGAGUUCGUUGUUGAAGAUGAGUCCACACAACAUUUGGUUGUGAAGGUUUAUGAUGAUGAAGGACUUCAGGCUUCUGAGCUUAUAGGAUGUGCUCAGAUUCAGUUAAGCGAACUUCAACCCGGUAAGGUGAAGGAUGUGUGGUUGAAGCUGGUUAAAGAUCUGGAGGUUAUCAGAGAUAAUAAAAACAGGGGGCAGGUAACUACACAAUAAAUCCCCCUUACCCUCGCAAGAAAAAUAAAUAAAUAAAUAAACCAUCAAUCUGCUUAGGAAAAGUUUUUUACUGCAUCUAUGUAGAAUCAAAUAGAAUUAGUUUCUGGAACCCUGAACUAUUUCCCAUCAACACUAUCAUUUUGGUUUUGGUCUCACUGUGUAGUUUGUCAAGUAUAGAAAAAAGCGGUAAAACCCUAACCUUUAGUUGGAUGGGAAACAAUUAAAUUAAAACUCUUGACUGUCAUUAUCCCACUCAAAACACUUGAAUGUAGAUCUAAACGAGCCAAACCAGUCCUUUUGUUCUGCCAAGAAGACCUCUGGUUCUUUAUAUGAUAUGUACCUUCCUUUUUUGAUUUUCUGUUGAAUGUCUGUAUUAGGUGCACUUGGAGCUCCUUUACUGUCCUUUCGGUAUGGAAAAUGGCUUUACAAAUCCAUUUGCCUCUGAUUUUAGAAUGACUUCCUUGGAGAGCGUACUAAAGAAUCGGGCAAAUGGAACGGAAGCUACCGAAAGCGAACAAGCUGUCACACAGAAGAGGAAAGAGGUUAUUAUUAGAGGAGUACUUUCUGUCACAGUAAUAUCUGCAGAAGACUUGCCUGCAACAGAUCUUGUUGGAAAGUCUGACCCAUAUGUUGUACUCACCAUGAAAAAAUCAGGAAUGAAGAACAAAACAAGGGUAAUGCUCCUUUGCCUAAAAUUAAGAUCCUUUGUUUUUGAACAUAUAGAUUUAGAAGUAACACUGUUGACAAUUUCAUUCUCCCUAUGUGAUCUUGAACUUAAAAUU